RNAcentral lists this long non-coding RNA (668 nucleotides) under Lathyrus oleraceus (garden pea). RNAcentral's name for it is "Pisum sativum (pea) long non-coding RNA (PSAT_LNC015877)". The record is from RNAcentral. Lineage: Eukaryota; Viridiplantae; Streptophyta; Magnoliopsida; Fabales; Fabaceae.
AGAGUGAAGUUUGAGAGAGAGAGGGUUGAACGCGAGGGAGAGGGUUGAACGCGAGAUUAAGUGAGCGAUUGAGUGAGAUUGGAGAUUGAGAGAGCGAUGAGGGAGCGAUUUCAUUGAGAGCGUCGAGAGAUUGAGAGAAGAGAGAUUGAGAGCGGGUACGCGUUUGGGAGAGAACGAGGACGAUGGACUGUUUUUGGUUUCCAUUUCUUUUUUUUCUUUUUUUAAUUUAUUUUUAAACAGAGAUAAGCAUUGAAACCAUAAAAAAUUUUAUAUUUUUAAACUUCCUAAGUUUUCAUUUUUAACUUCCCAAGUUUAAUAAAUAUUUUUUUCAUUUUCAAUUCAUAUGCUUUUGAGAAACCCAACAGCCGGGUUUUUUUUGUUGGUAAACCAACAGACCUUCAUUAUUGUUAUUUUAGUUCCUUUUUUGUUUUUAUUCCGAUCUAGUCUGGUUUAUAUGUUUAAGCUGUUAUCUAGUUGACAAUUAAUGAUAAAUGGUCUAGUGGAGAGGGGGUGGUUUCUAUGGUCUUUAGUGUAGUGGGUUCAAUACUCAUAUUGUGCAUUUUAUUUCUUUUAGCAUUUUAUUUUCUUUUAGCAUUUUAUUUUAUGUUUAUGUUUUUACUAUACUCAUGGUUGAUCUGCUUUCUUUUAAUUUCAUCAUUCAUUCAAAA